Candidatus Peregrinibacteria bacterium is the source of this 73-nucleotide non-coding RNA. Lineage: Bacteria; Candidatus Peregrinibacteriota. The record is from Rfam.
GGGUCGGUAGCUCAGCUGGUAGAGCAACAGCCUUUUAAGCUGAUGGUCCCGGGUUCGACCCCCGGCCGACCCA